CUCCUGAACGGUUAAGCUCCCCCUCUAGUGUUCACUGCUCAUCAUAUUAUUCCUCCAGGAAGAAGGAAAGAGAGAUGCCACUUUAUAACUUCACACAGAGACGGCUGCUACUCAUUUAUAUCUUCAGAGUAUAAUGGCAUGAAGACAAAAAGGUUACUUUAAGCCGCAUUAAUGUAGACUGGGAGCGGACUCUAGCUGUUCUUCAUCAUUCUUGGAAGCUGCAUAGGAAAACCAAUAUAGUCCACAAAUAACUGGCCCCAACACUGAAGUGUACUCAGGUGUGACCGGCAAAACUCAGAAGCAAAACAAAGAUGGGUUCAUGUCAAUUCUGCGUCCCCCCUUUCUGAAGCAGUAAGGUUGGGGAGUGGCUGCUCUCAGUAGCAACAUGUUACACUUUGAUGAGGGACUUAAUACAUUUAAAGUGACUCAACUGCUCUGGCAAUGCAAGGAUUUGGAGGAACCAUUUAUCUACCUACAUUGUUUUGCAUGGAGACUAGAAGAAAAACCCAGCUAAGCUUACUUUCUCUCAUAUGAAGAUCUGGUCUGUGCAUCAGAU
Molecule: long non-coding RNA, 556 nt
Organism: Alligator mississippiensis (American alligator)
Lineage: Eukaryota; Metazoa; Chordata; Crocodylia; Alligatoridae
Exons: 5
Source: RefSeq, a predicted model, not a curated record